AGACAUAAAACAGGUGAUAAUGGCCAUUACACAUAGAACAAAAAAAUACGGCCAUUACACAUAAAACAGCAGAAUAUAGCCCUUACACAUGCAACGGAUGAAAACGGCCAUUAUACAUCAACCAUGAAAAUACGGCGUUUCACAUCAAAAAGAGAAUACGACCAUAACACAUGUAACAGGAGAAAAUGGCCAGUACACAUGAAAACAAGAAGAAACUGCAAUUACACAUAACACAAGAAGAAACAACCAUUACAUAUGAAACAAGAGAAAAGGGCC
This 276-nucleotide long non-coding RNA is filed under the name Mytilus galloprovincialis (Mediterranean mussel). The record is from RNAcentral. Lineage: Eukaryota; Metazoa; Mollusca; Bivalvia; Mytilida; Mytilidae.